AACAGGUGCUAUAUUUCACAAGCAAAAUGAGUUUUUUACAUGCAGUAACACACGCUGAUAACAUAUUAAUAUAGUAAAUUAACUAUACCGAUAACUCGAGUUCGACCAUGAGGUGAGAAGGGCCAUAUUUAGAAGGAUAUGAGUCGAUCCGGGAGAGAGGGAGUAUUGGGAAGGCAUGGUUCAAAGGAUUCUUCUUUUGUUUAUUCUGGUCGAAACUCUAUUCCUUGAACGAUAAGGCCACCUUUCGCAGAGAGACGCCUAACUUCCAUUAAUCUCGCUUCAACAUCUCCAUCCUCUCCCGCGUCAUUGAAAAAUUUUCCCAUUUCUAUUUCCAGCCAUCCAUUGUCUCUUCUCUUGGAUCGAUUCUCACCAUGUUCUUCUUGUGUUGAAAGACUAACAACACUAGCUCGUUCCUCAGCUUCAUUGUCACUCUCACGAUCAACAAAUCUAACGAAUGUAUUAGCAGUUUCAAGGCCAUAGUAUCCGCUUUUCAGUUUGAACACUAGAUAAGCAACAUAGUUGGUUCUUUUUGACAGUAGUCGAGUUUCAAUCUUCCCUCGCAUAUCAAGCCAACAAACAAACCGAAGAUUAGCCACUUCCGAAAAUCUGGAGUCGGGGUGAGAUGACCAUGACCAAUAAUGUGGUGUAUCGCUCCACGAAAUAGCAAGUUCCCUCGCUGAUACCAUAAAACAUUUCUUCCCGGUCUUCUUGUCCAAUGAAAAACUCAUUUUGCCUCCAUCAGUGAGAAUUGGAGAAUCACAGAGACUAAAGUAGAGCUGUUUCAUGGAAGGAGAAGCCAUUAACGAUUUUGAUUUAGAAAUUAUAUUUUGAUAAUCCGACGGCAAAAAUUUCUCCCAAACGACGUCGGAUUCAGCAGCGAAAUUGAAGCCUCGAGAGCUCGUCGAUAACCUAGCAGUAUCCUCCGGCGAAGUGAACGAUAAAAUUUCCGAUAAGCAAUCUUCCGGCAUCAACCCAAAAUAAUCCAUCGGAAAUUAAUUUUAACAAAAAUUAAAAUUAUCAACCGAUUAAAG
Molecule: unclassified non-coding RNA, 1031 nt
Filed under: Hevea brasiliensis (rubber tree)
Lineage: Eukaryota; Viridiplantae; Streptophyta; Magnoliopsida; Malpighiales; Euphorbiaceae
Source: RNAcentral